This 257-nucleotide ribosomal RNA is filed under the name uncultured bacterium. RNAcentral's name for it is "partial 16S ribosomal RNA". It matches the Rfam family "Bacterial small subunit ribosomal RNA", at positions 524 to 776 of the family's 1533-position model. The record is from RNAcentral.
UACGGGGGGAGCAAGCGUUGUUCGGAUUUACUGGGCGUAAAAGGGCGCGGUAGGCGGUCGUGACAAGUCACUUGUGAAAUCUCCGGGCUUAACUCGGAACGGUCAAGUGAUACUGUCGGACUAGAGUACAGAAGGGGGCAACUGGAAUUCUCGGUGUAGCGGUGAAAUGCGUAGAUAUCGAGAGGAACACCUGCGGCGAAGGCGGGUUGCUGGGCUGAUACUGACGCUGAGGCGCGAAAGCCAGGGGAGCGAACGGG